RNAcentral lists this ribosomal RNA (467 nucleotides) under uncultured bacterium. RNAcentral describes it as "partial 16S ribosomal RNA". It matches the Rfam family "Bacterial small subunit ribosomal RNA", at positions 29 to 507 of the family's 1533-position model. The record is from RNAcentral.
ACGAACGCUGGCGGCGUGCUUAACACAUGCAAGUCGCACGGAAAGGCCCUGCUUUUGUGGGGUGCUCGCGUGGCGAACGGGUGAGUAACACGUGAGUAACCUGCCCUUGACUUUGGGAUAACUUCAGGAAACUGGGGCUAAUACCGGAUAUGAGCUCCUGCUGCAUGGUGGGGGUUGGAAAGUUUCGGCGGUUGGGGAUGGACUCGCGGCUUAUCAGCUUGUUGGUGGGGUAGUGGCUUACCAAGGCUUUGACGGGUAGCCGGCCUGAGAGGGUGACCGGCCACAUUGGGACUGAGAUACGGCCCAGACUCCUACGGGAGGCAGCAGUGGGGAAUAUUGCACAAUGGGCGGAAGCCUGAUGCAGCAACGCCGCGUGCGGGAUGACGGCCUUCGGGUUGCAAACCGCUUUCGCCUGUGACGAAGCGUGAGUGACGGUAAUGGGUAAAGAAGCACCGGCUAACUACGUG